UACGUAGGGUGCGAGCGUUAAUCGGAAUUACUGGGCGUAAAGCGUGCGCAGGCGGUUAUGUAAGACAGAGGUGAAAUCCCCGGGCUCAACCUGGGAACUGCCUUUGUGACUGCAUGACUAGAGUACGGCAGAGGGGGAUGGAAUUCCGCGUGUAGCAGUGAAAUGCGUAGAUAUGCGGAGGAACACCGAUGGCGAAGGAAAUCCCCUGGGGCUGUAAUGACGAUCAUGCACGAAAGCGUGGGGAGCAAACAGG
RNAcentral lists this ribosomal RNA (253 nucleotides) under uncultured bacterium. RNAcentral describes it as "partial 16S ribosomal RNA". It matches the Rfam family "Bacterial small subunit ribosomal RNA", at positions 524 to 776 of the family's 1533-position model. The record is from RNAcentral.